This 253-nucleotide ribosomal RNA is filed under the name uncultured bacterium. RNAcentral describes it as "partial 16S ribosomal RNA". It matches the Rfam family "Bacterial small subunit ribosomal RNA", at positions 524 to 776 of the family's 1533-position model. The record is from RNAcentral.
UACGUAGGGUGCGAGCGUUGUCCGGAAUUAUUGGGCGUAAAGGGCUCGUAGGCGGUUUGUCGCGUCGGGAGUGAAAACCAGGUGCUUAACACCUGGCUUGCUUUCGAUACGGGCAGACUAGAGGUAUUCAGGGGAGAACGGAAUUCCUGGUGUAGCGGUGAAAUGCGCGGAUAUCAGGAGGAACACCGGUGGCGAAGGCGGUUCUCUGGGAAUGACCUGACGCUGAGGAGCGAAAGUGUGGGGAGCGAGCAGG